AUAACGGUCCUAAGGUAGCGAAAUUCCUUGUCGGGUAAGUUCCGACCUGCACGAAAGGCGCAACGACUUGGGCGCUGUCUCGACCAUGGACCCGGUGAAAUUGCACUGGUCGUGAAGAUGCGACUUACCCGCGGAAGGACGGAAAGACCCCGUGAACCUUCACUGCAGCUUGGCAUUGGCCGCUGGUCCCGCGUGUAGAGGAUAGGCAGGAGGCUAAGAUCCGGAGGCGCCAGCCCCCGGGGAGCCGCCCUUGGAAUACUGCCCUCGCGCGACCGGCGUCCUAACCCGAGGCCGUCAACCGGCUCGGGGACCGUGCCAGGCGGGCAGUUUGACUGGGGCGGUCGCCUCCUAAAGGGUAACGGAGGCGCGCGAAGGUCCGCUCGGGACGGUCGGCAACCGUCCUUUUGAAUGCAAGAGUACAAGCGGGCUUGACUGCGAGGCCCACAAGCCGAGCAGGUGCGAAAGCAGGCUCUAGUGAUCCGGCGGCCCCGAGUGGGUGGGCCGUCGCUCAACGGAUAAAAGGUACUCCGGGGAUAACAGGCUGAUCUUGCCCAAGAGUCCACAUCGACGGCAAGGUUUGGCACCUCGAUGUCGGCUCAUCGCAUCCUGGGGCUGGAGUCGGUCCCAAGGGUACGGCUGUUCGCCGUUUAAAGCGGUACGCGAGCUGGGUUCAGAACGUCGUGAGACAGUUCGGUCCCUAUCCUCCGUGGGCGCAGGAGAAUCGAUGGAGGCUGCCCCCAGUACGAGAGGACCGGGGUGGACGCACCUCCGGUGAACCGGUUGUCGACCAACGGCACGGCCGGGUAGCCGCGUGCGGCGCGGAUAACCGCUGAAGGCAUCUAAGCGGGAAGCCGUUCCAGGGAUUAGUUCUCCUUCCGGUAAGGGCCCAGGUAGACUACCUGGUCGAUAGACGGCAGGUGCAAGGACGGCGACGUCCUCAGCCGAGCCGCACUAAUCGCCCGAGCUCUUCCGGAA
Molecule: ribosomal RNA, 975 nt
Filed under: human gut metagenome
Description: bacterial LSU rRNA
Rfam family: Bacterial large subunit ribosomal RNA
Source: RNAcentral